UAGAGUAGAUAUUGCGCGUCAAGUGUCAUGAGAUGGGAUGUUGCUCAUGAACGAAGGAUCAGAUCUGCGGUGUAAUAUCGCGUCCGCUA
RNAcentral lists this non-coding RNA (89 nucleotides) under bovine gut metagenome. RNAcentral's name for it is "THF riboswitch". It matches the Rfam family "THF (Tetrahydrofolate) riboswitch aptamer". Rfam says of the family: THF riboswitch presents a pseudoknot that joins P1-P2 and the loop of P3 and two THF binding. The record is from RNAcentral.